This 908-nucleotide ribosomal RNA is filed under the name uncultured bacterium. RNAcentral's name for it is "bacterial SSU rRNA". It matches the Rfam family "Bacterial small subunit ribosomal RNA", at positions 1 to 901 of the family's 1533-position model. The record is from RNAcentral.
CCCUUAGAGUUUGAUCCUGGCUCAGGAUGAACGCUAGCUACAGGCUUAACACAUGCAAGUCGAGGGGAAACGAUAGAGAAAGCUUGCUUUUUCUAGGCGUCGACCGGCGCACGGGUGAGUAACGCGUAUCCAACCUGCCCACCACUUGGGGAUAACCUUGCGAAAGUAAGACUAAUACCCAAUGAUAUCUCAAGAAGACAUCUGAAUGAGAUUAAAGAUUCAUCGGUGAUGGAUGGGGAUGCGUCUGAUUAGCUUGUUGGCGGGGUAACGGCCCACCAAGGCUACGAUCAGUAGGGGUUCUGAGAGGAAGGUCCCCCACAUUGGAACUGAGACACGGUCCAAACUCCUACGGGAGGCAGCAGUGAGGAAUAUUGGUCAAUGGGCGAGAGCCUGAACCAGCCAAGUAGCGUGCAGGAUGACGGCCCUAUGGGUUGUAAACUGCUUUUAUAAGGGGAUAAAGUGAGUCUCGUGAGACUUUUUGCAUGUACCUUAUGAAUAAGGACCGGCUAAUUCCGUGCCAGCAGCCGCGGUAAUACGGAAGGUCCGGGCGUUAUCCGGAUUUAUUGGGUUUAAAGGGAGCGUAGGCCGGAGAUUAAGCGUGUUGUGAAAUGUAGAUGCUCAACAUCUGCACUGCAGCGCGAACUAGUUUCCUUGAGUACGCACAAAGUGGGCGGAAUUCGUGGUGUAGCGGUGAAAUGCUUAGAUAUCACGAAGAACUCCGAUUGCGAAGGCAGCUCACUGGAGCGCAACUGACGCUGAAGCUCGAAAGUGCGGGUAUCGAACAGGAUUAGAUACCCUGGUAGUCCGCACGGUAAACGAUGGAUGCCCGCUGUUGGUCUGAAUAGGUCAGCGGCCAAGCGAAAGCAUUAAGCAUCCCACCUGGGGAGUACGCCGGCAACGGUGAAACU